GACAUGGAGUCUAUCACAUGUUCAGGAGGAUGCUCAGACCCUUAAUUCAAUGGCCUACAGGGAGAAAUGGUCUCCUCCAAUGCAUUCUCUCAUUAGUGCUAUGCGUGUAGCUUUUAAUAGCAUUUCAUUCCACUUCAUUUAAAUAAAAUAUGGCCUUUGUAACUGAGAAGAUAAUUAGUAGCUGGUGAAAGCUCAUCUGUAAUUAUGUUGAGUCGAAACUGGUAAUUAUUACAUUGCUUUAUAUGUACAAUGUUUUUCCUCCCAAAUCCCCUCUGAUUCCCUCAUAGAUGCCUACAUAUUCUGCAGCAAUUUUGCAAUCACAUUUGUGGGAAACAGAGGAGAUCCCAGCAGCUCCUUGUUACCUCUCUUUCACUACACAAAAAGGAAAUAAUUCCUCAGCUCGUGAGAAAGUCACCCAUCUAUAAGUUAUGCUAUUUAAUCUGCGACAACUCAUUGUGGGCUCCAUUGAGAAACACCUUGCUUUUACAGUUCCACAUCUCUCUCAGAUGUUGCAGUGCAUUCCCCAAGGUCUGCGAGGUCACAUGCAGAGCCUGCGGACAGUUUUAGGGGUUACUCCUUGAUGACUGUAUGACGGUACCCUUGGCCGGAUAAGAGAUUCCAACAGGUUUGAUAGCCCCUAGAUAAUAUGAUCUGUAUCUCCCUGGCUUUAAGAACUUUUAGCUUCAAGAGUUACAACGUUUAAAUGCUACAAAUUUGUCUAGGAAAUAGAAGCUAUUCCACAAUGCCUGGAAAAAUGUAAGUGCCUUUUUCAGAUUUCUUCUCAGAUAAAGACCAUGUACAUCUAUAGAAUGCAUCUGCCUUCAAAUCUUCAUUGGCAAUUGCUGUGUAGUGUAAGGGCACUUCUGAGAUUUCACUUGCACACAGUGUGCUGUAUAAAUAAUAUACCUUGGGUAUUUUAGCAUUCCAGGCACGUGACUCUGAGCUUCAGUAUUGUCAGCAUUAUCAUUUUCUUUCUCCAGAAAUGAACAACUCCUGUUUCUUGUGUUUAUAAAUGAGGCCACUAGCAUUGAUACCGAAAUUAAAUCUUGGUCUUUAUAUCAAAUGUUGUUGCAAUCUUCAGUCCUUCUGGUCUUAUUAAACAGUGUGCAACAACAUUCUACUUCUUUCCUACAGUUCCUUUCAAAAUAAUAGCAGUGAGGUUGUUAGGAAUAAUACUAGAAAAUAUGACAACAUUCUGGUUGUUUGCUUGGACUUUGAAAGAUUACAUUUAGAUUUAGA
RNAcentral lists this long non-coding RNA (1239 nucleotides) under Numida meleagris (helmeted guineafowl). RNAcentral describes it as "lncRNA (ENSNMEG00000020941.1)". The record is from RNAcentral. Lineage: Eukaryota; Metazoa; Chordata; Aves; Galliformes; Numididae.